Long non-coding RNA from Heterocephalus glaber (naked mole-rat), 426 nucleotides. Lineage: Eukaryota; Metazoa; Chordata; Mammalia; Rodentia; Bathyergidae. The record is from Ensembl.
GUGAGCCCAGCUUCCUCGAUGACAGAGUAGGGGAUGCAGGAUGAUGCCAAGGGUCUCUGUGUAGCCCAGGCUGGCCUGGAACUCAUAGUGAUCCUCCUGCCUCAGCCAAGUGCUGGGAUCACAGGUGUGUGCACCAUGCCGGCCGAUGGUGGGAUUUUCACAGGCCCCACCGCUCCUGUGGCAGAUAAGUUACCAUGAAACCUGAGCACAGACCAGUGGUGGCCUUAAAACCCAGGACAGAAGCCAGGACAGAAGCAGCACAAAGUGAGAAGGAAGCUCUCGUGGAGCCCUGGCCCGUUCCUGCACUGACGCUCCUGGAAGAGGCCUUCACUGUCCCAGAGUGAGGAUAACAGAGACAAGCCUUCCCGGAAGCCCUGGGAAGGUGGGUCCAUCCAACAGGAGGCCACAAAUUAAACUCGGUUGACG